GUUUCUGUAGUUGAAGUACAACAAUGGCUUUUCAAGCCAUAAUUCCUGGUUGAAGUCCUGGUAGAAAUU
Molecule: transfer RNA, 69 nt
Filed under: Epinephelus hexagonatus (starspotted grouper)
Lineage: Eukaryota; Metazoa; Chordata; Actinopteri; Perciformes; Serranidae
Description: tRNA-Glu
Rfam family: tRNA
About the family: Transfer RNA (tRNA) molecules are approximately 80 nucleotides in length. Their secondary structure includes four short double-helical elements and three loops (D, anti-codon, and T loops).
Source: RNAcentral